This 209-nucleotide long non-coding RNA is filed under the name Homo sapiens (human). RNAcentral's name for it is "non-protein coding lnc-ARHGAP6-7:3". Lineage: Eukaryota; Metazoa; Chordata; Mammalia; Primates; Hominidae. The record is from RNAcentral.
ACGCUGUGAAGACCUGUGUCACUUGUGAAGUAUCCUACUGUGACGAGUGCCUGAAAGCCACUCACCCGAAUAAGAAGCCCUUUACAGGCCAUCGUCUGAUUGAGCCAAUUCCGGACUCUCACAUCCGGGGGCUGAUGUGCUUGGAGCAUGAGGAUGAGAAGGUGAAUAUGUACUGUGUGACCGAUGACCAGUUAAUCUGUGCCUUGUGU